CCCCAAGCUUACCUUGGGAACUGCUGUGGAUACUGGGCAGCUAGAGUGUGUCAGAGGAUGGUGGAAUUCCCGGUGUAGCGGUGAAAUGCGUAGAGAUCGGGAGGAACAUCAGUGGCGAAGGCGGCCAUCUGGGACAACACUGACGCUGAAGCACGAAAGCGUGGGGAGCAAACAG
This 175-nucleotide ribosomal RNA is filed under the name uncultured bacterium. RNAcentral's name for it is "partial 16S ribosomal RNA". It matches the Rfam family "Bacterial small subunit ribosomal RNA", at positions 601 to 775 of the family's 1533-position model. The record is from RNAcentral.